AGAAGCGAAGCCAAGGGGACAGAUGCUGGCAUGUUGCCACAUGAUAGAAGAAUGAUUUAUUAGAACAAAUUCCAUGACAAAUCAUAUAAAAUAACCAUUUUCUGAAAGACAUCCAUAAGACCACCUGAGGACAAACGCACAGAGGUGCCUCCAAGAAGCCAGACAAAUAAGUUAACCGAUCCCAAGGCGAAGGCUGGGGGGGGCGGUGGGGAGAAGACUUGUGAAUAAAAAACUCGUACAGCGAUCCUCCGGGGGCUGUGGAUGGAGGUGUGGUGGACGGACGGCCACGGCUUGUGCUGGGGGCCAGGCUGUGGGCAGCCGUGGGGCAUGCGGGGGGUGGGGGGCAGCAGGACUAGCACCUCCUCUGCGUGGACACAGCAGGCUCGCGGGCGGGGCCGGGAGGGGCCCCCACUCACACGCACAGGAUCCAUGCACUCAGCUCCACUCAGCCAAACGUAAACUUGUGUCGCCCAGCACGGCUGGGACUCGCACGGCCACCAGCGUCCCGUGCAGCCUCGGCGACCCCACCCCCAGCCGUUGGUCCCGUCCAGUCAACAUUUGCGCAGAUGCCAGGCGGGGUGCAGGACUUGCCCACACCAGGGUGGUGGAGCUCUGCUGGCCUGGCAUGUUCCCAGCUGAGAGAAUCCUGAGAAAACGAAACGGGUUCCGGGGGGCUGUCCUCCCCACCCUCUCGGGAUGGGGAGCACAGAGCCUGGGAGGCGCCCACUUAGUGCUCCCCGCGUCUGAGAGUGGGGGGCGGCCAGGGGAGGGCGUGUGGUCCAGGGAGCUUCUGGAAGCCGGGUUUCCAGCCACUUUGGUCAUUGACUUGCCUCCACCUGGCCCAGGACCGUCGCAAGCCAGCACCCAAGGCCCUGCACGCUCACUGGCCGUGCCCGCGUGUGGAGCUGUGCUGGGGUAGCUGCAGGCGCGGGCGUGCUCGGGCGUGUGCACAGCCACCGGCCCACACGCUCAUGAGUUUGGCAGUUAUGUUGGCACCAAAGGCUCGAAGCGGUGGGGUUCCUGCCCCACAUGUCCCCACGGGCCAUAUCCCUGUCCCGGGCCGCUGGACUCUGGGGUGGCUGGGAGCCGCCAGCGCCCUGACCAGCCUGCACUCUGCCCUCGAGUCCUGGGGCAUCACGAAGCCCCCAGGUCUGCGUUUGGCACUGAAAGACCGCACUGCCCAGCCCCUCUUCCUCUACCCGGUCCGGCCGCACAAAGGCUCAGGGUGGGCGAGUACACCGUCCCCCCAGCCCGUGCGGCGAGGCGGGACCCUCCGAGGCCCAGGAGUGCCCGCAAUGGCACAAACUACU
This 1310-nucleotide long non-coding RNA is filed under the name Sus scrofa (pig). RNAcentral describes it as "lncRNA (ENSSSCG00070012834.1)". Lineage: Eukaryota; Metazoa; Chordata; Mammalia; Artiodactyla; Suidae. The record is from RNAcentral.